This 318-nucleotide ribosomal RNA is filed under the name uncultured bacterium. Its description in RNAcentral is "bacterial SSU rRNA". It matches the Rfam family "Bacterial small subunit ribosomal RNA", at positions 30 to 349 of the family's 1533-position model. The record is from RNAcentral.
AUUGAACGCUGGCGGCAUGCCUUACACAUGCAAGUCGAACGGCAGCACGGGAGCAAUCCUGGUGGCGAGUGGCGAACGGGUGAGUAAUAUAUCGGAACGUGCCCAGUCUGGGGGAUAACGUAGCGAAAGCUACGCUAAUACCGCAUACGAUCUAUGGAUGAAAGCGGGGGAUCGCAAGACCUCGCGCGAUUGGAGCGGCCGAUAUCAGAUUAGGUAGUUGGUGAGGUAAAGGGCUCACCAAGCCGACGAUCUGUAGCUGGUCUGAGAGGACGACCAGCCACACUGGGACUGAGACACGGCCCAGACUCCUACGGAGGC